UUAUAUCCCUUCUUACAAGUCCUCUCCCUCACCAGGCCCUCUCCCUUACCCUGCAGCGUCUCCCUUCUGCCCCUCAUCCCGACCACAGCCCAGCCAGCCCCUCCCGCUGUCCCCCACCCGGACCCCCGUAUUCGCCGACGACCACCCGAACCACCCCAAAUCUUGUAGUCCAAAAUCCCAACAGGUCCGUUAUUAGGCGAUGGGUCCACCGCGAUCUCUGAUUCUUCACCGGCUCGCGCCCUACUUUGCAGCUCGAAUCAGGCAGAACCAGAGGCUUCUAUCCUCUUCUUUCUUCUAUUCCUCUUCCUCUUCUGCUGUCGAAGAAGCCUCUUCUUCUUCUCCAUCUCCGGCCCUCGACCUCGAUUCCGUUCACAUGACCGAUACCUGUGUUCAAAGAAUGAAACAGCUGCAAGCCAGUGAAGCAGAGGGAAAGAUGCUACGUUUGAGUGUAGAAACUGGUGGAUGUUCUGGGUUCCAAUAUGUUUUUGAUCUUGACGACAAACACCACCCAGAUGACAGAGUAUUUGAGAAGGAAGGAGUAAAGUUGGUGGUCGACAAUAUUUCAUAUGAUUUUGUGAAAGGAGCAACUGUUGAUUAUGUUGAGGAGCUGAUUCGCUCCGCUUUCCAAGUGACUACAAAUCCAAGUGCAGUCGGGGGGUGCAGUUGUAAAAGUUCUUUCAUGGUGAAAUAAUAGUUUUGCGACGGCUUUUGUGCACUGCCUUCCAAGAUAGCUAAGACUAGGAGGUAAUUAGCUUUCUGACUUCAACAGUAGACGAAUGCAUGCGACUUGAAAUUUGUUCGAUUAGCGGCCAUGCUACUUAUUACUUGUACUUGAGUUGAAAUUACAGUACGUUGCGGGGUUUCGAUGAUCUCGCCUAUUUUGAUGAUGUGUAGCGGCAUAGAUCAAUAGUUACUGAUUGUAAGGAAGUGAAGUGGUCGCCGUCGCCAGCGUGGAGAUGUGAAGGCGACAUCUCGUGGUGUUCAGAUAGCUUGACGGCGGUGGCGCGGAAGAGACAUUUGCUGCCUUGCUGUUUACUGUCGCACUCUCCAAUGGCGGAACAAAGGUUCUGCCUCUUUGUGGAGUUGAAUCGUUGAGGUAAUGCAUUGUGAAACCAUUUUUGCAUCGACAAAUCAUUGUGAAACAUGAAUCGCAGUCACUUGCCGCAUUAGUAAGGUCGGGCACAAAACAUAUCAAAUGCAUUCAUAUGAGCUCAACC
Malus domestica (apple) is the source of this 1217-nucleotide non-coding RNA. NCBI's taxonomy places the organism in Eukaryota, Viridiplantae, Streptophyta, Magnoliopsida, Rosales, Rosaceae. The record is from RefSeq and is a predicted model, not a curated record.